GCUGGUUCUUCCAGGAGCGCGCAUGAGCGGACGCUGCCUACUGGUGGCCGGGCGGGAUGUAACCGGCUGCUGAGCUGGCAGUUCUGUGUCGCUAGGCUUCUGCCCGGCCGCCGCCGCACAUAAGCCACGAGGAGGAGCUUUACGACUUCCCGGUCUUCGGCGCCGGGCGCAGCAAGGGCCAGACUCUGCGCUAGCAGGCGCUGCGCGCCAACCGGCCGGCACCUGUCGCAGAAGGUGCAACCGAUCGCACUGUCGCGCAGAAGCUCCUCAAUGGCCAGCGCCAGCUGCAGCCCCGGCCGCCCACUCGCCUCAUCUGAGCCUGGGCAAAUCUGGAUUGGGAAAGUUGACAUUAAUCAACUCAUUAUUCCUCACAGAUUUGUAUUCUCCAGAGUAUCCAGGUCCUUCUCAGAGAAUUAAAAAGCCUGUACAGGUCUAGAUAUUGGUAUUUUUAAUUGAUGAUAAGCUGGAAUAAUAUUAAUACACACAAAGCACGUGUUGUAACUUUCAUUAUGCUUCCUUAGAGCUCUGUUCACGGAAAGGGCCUGGGAGCUGCAACACCUCAACAGCAACAAGCACACCUGCUACCUAGAACUUGGUUUCUAAAAACCAUCCUCCUCUAAAAGGAAACAGAGCUCUUUGAAGAAACGGUGAGACAGUCAACAAACCUCUAACCACCGACCUUUUCUCCUCUGCCCUCCACUCACACUCUGCUCCAUCACCCUCAGCCACACAGCUGACGCUGUAGAGAUUCACUGACAUCCAGUCUGAUGGACACUGUUUCUCCAGCCGAAACUGCUCAUGAGAACAUGUGCAGUGAAGUGCUCCAGAGGCCCCAGCAUGCUACAUUACAGAAGACUGAACUCAGGAGAGAUGAGGAAUAAUCCCCUCCAUCACACCAGACACCAGGAGGGUGUGCCAAGAGGUAACUUUGCUGAACUUGUGAAGAAUGGUGUGCAAGGUCCAGAGCGACUGCAGGAGAGGGAAGGUGGGAUUCCCACAGAGCAGGAGCACAGAUAAGCCAAGCAAGGCCCUGCUUGGAAGGCAGCAAUCAACAGAGAUGCACAGACCUGUGAGGGUGCCGGGACAGCCAUGCAACAAUGCAGCCCUUUUGCUUCCUGAGCUCACCAGUUCCCUCGCUCCACCUCUGAGAGGUGGUUUGGAGAAACACAGCCCUUCUCAAGAGGGCUGCAAGCUACUUAAGUCCUGAAAAUUUCCACAAGGCUGAGUCAAAUCUGCGUUUCAUCAUCUAUAAGAAAGGUACCUAUCGAGAACACCCUGCUGGCCAGUGUGUAAAUAUCUAAAGGAGGACUCAGAAAACACCGGGGAAGUCCAGCCUGCACGUGGUGGCUGGGCUUCAGUGAAGCAUGCAGCACAACAGGAGUUAGCAGCCAUGCACUGCCCAGGCUGGAAGUAUGCUCAACCACAAGGGUCAGGGCUGGGAGAGGCGCUUCGGUAGCAAGAAGGUGCCUCUGAAAACCAGCAUUGGGAUGGAGAGGGCUGAAGGCAAGUGCUGGAUGUGACCACGGGCAGCUUUCAGGCUGGGAGCAC
RNAcentral lists this long non-coding RNA (1548 nucleotides) under Homo sapiens (human). Its description in RNAcentral is "PREDICTED lncRNA (TCONS_00000039)". Lineage: Eukaryota; Metazoa; Chordata; Mammalia; Primates; Hominidae. The record is from RNAcentral.